CGCAACCCUCGCCCUAGUUGCAGCAUUAGUUGGGCACUCUAAGGGGACUGCCGGUGAUAAGCCGAGAGGAAGGUGGGGAGUGACGUCAAGUCCUCAUGGCCCUUACGGGCUGGGCUACACACGUGCUACAAUGGUGGUGACAGUGGGCAGCGAGCACGCGAGUGUGAGCUAAUCUCCAAAAGCCAUCUCAGUUCGGAUUGCACUCUGCAACUCGAGUGCAUGAAGUUGGAAUCGCUAGUAAUCGCGGAUCAGCAUGCCGCGGUGAAUACGUUCCCGGGCCUU
This 282-nucleotide ribosomal RNA is filed under the name uncultured Rhizobiaceae bacterium. RNAcentral describes it as "partial 16S ribosomal RNA". It matches the Rfam family "Bacterial small subunit ribosomal RNA", at positions 1097 to 1382 of the family's 1533-position model. The record is from RNAcentral. Lineage: Bacteria; Pseudomonadati; Pseudomonadota; Alphaproteobacteria; Hyphomicrobiales; Rhizobiaceae.